GGGGAUGGUUCAGCGGUAGAGCACAUGCCUGACAUACAUGAGGUCCUGGGUUCAAUCACCAGUAUCUCCA
RNAcentral lists this transfer RNA (70 nucleotides) under Camelus bactrianus (Bactrian camel). It matches the Rfam family "tRNA". From Rfam's summary of the family: Transfer RNA (tRNA) molecules are approximately 80 nucleotides in length. Lineage: Eukaryota; Metazoa; Chordata; Mammalia; Artiodactyla; Camelidae. RNAcentral also lists the same sequence under 2 other names. The record is from Rfam by way of RNAcentral.